Sycon ciliatum is the source of this 1593-nucleotide long non-coding RNA. RefSeq lists it as uncharacterized. The transcript is spliced from 5 exons. The record is from RefSeq and is a predicted model, not a curated record. Lineage: Eukaryota; Metazoa; Porifera; Calcarea; Leucosolenida; Sycettidae.
GAUAUGCCAGAAGCAAAAUGAUACGGAUGGUUUGUGGACUGAUCUACCAAGCUGCAAUCCUUUUGCUGCUUAUUGCACAAGUACAAUCAAUGUAAAAAAUGGAGUGUUUAUUCCGAACUAUACACACAUUGGAGCGGAGGCAAAUGUUACAUGUAAUAAUGGCUACCGUCUAUCGAAGGCUUCAAGAAUGAUGUGCCAGAAGCAAAAUGGUACGGAUGGUUUGUGGACUGAUCUACCAAGCUGCAAUCCUUUCGCUGGUUAUUGCACAAGUACGAUCAAUGUAAACAAUGGAGUGUUUAUUGCGAAUAAUACACACAUUGGAGCGGAGGCAAAUGUUACAUGUAAUCACGGCUACCGUCUAUCGAAGGAUUCAAAAAUGAUGUGCCGGAAACAAAAUGGUACGGAUGGUUUGUGGACUGAUCUACCAAGCUGCAAUCGUAUCUCUACAUAUUGUUCGAGCACGAUCAAUGUAAGAAAUGGAGUUUUCCAUGUCUCCGAUACUCACAUUGGAGCUGAGGCAAAUGGUACAUGUAAUCAAGGUUACCUCCCAUCGAAUAAUUCAACAAUAACAUGCCAGCCACGCAAUGAUAGCCAUGGUGUGUGGAAUAACCUUCUAAGCUGCAACCAAAAAGUAGCUGCCAAUACUGGUGCUGUCAUUGGGGGCAUUUUUGGCGGCUUAGCAGGUAUUAUGGUGAUCCUUUCACUUUUGCUGUGCAAACAAUCAAACAGGAACCAGAUCUUUAGAGUGAUCCAAAAACAUCUUGAGCUGGGAGCGCGGCCCACAACUGGCACCGUUAUGGAGGACUUCAGUGGAAGUGACAAUAUUGAUAAACGUGGGAGCACUGCAACAUUGCUUACCGGUAUUGAUCCAUCUAAGGUGGCGACCAUGGCAACAAGCUGUGAGAGCACGACCAAAGAGGUCUAGUAUGGUGACACGACACUGUGGCUGUGGAAAAGGACAUUGAUUAGCUGUACACUGGUUGUACACUGGUACACUGCCAAAACUCUCCCCGAGCUGAAGAUAGUCACUAUGACCCAGUAUGAUGUGAGCACACCACAUUGCCAGUGUUUGAGAAGGAAAUGGAUUGAUACAAUUAUCAUGAUGGUGUCUACAACUGGAAGCAUCAACAUCAUUGCUAUCUCUGCAGCUCGCACAGCCUGAUGAAAAUCAACACGAUAGUUAUUGGUGGUUCAAAUUUGCUAAGUCAGUAUUUCAUCAAUGUUUCCAUGUAGAUUGUUCAUUUCGUGUUUUCUUUCCAUUUCUUCAUUUGAAGGUAUUCCGACUUUGCAUGUCUUUUUCUCCUCUCAAUUUAUCACUUUCCUGCAAGUGCGAUCUACUCGUAGAUUUUUGGUUAGGUGAUUUUCUGUGAGCAACUCCAUUAGGCAAUGUCUGUUUACUGUGGUCGUGUUUACUGCUCCUAAUCACCAGCAUUGUUCAGUAUGGCUCAUAUGAUGCGAUUGGGCUUCGGUAUUAUCGACCUUUUGAUUUCCCAGUGUCAGCAUACGGUUUAUUAUUAUUCUGAGACCUGUGGUCGGGUAAUUUUCUGCAGGAACUCCAUGUUCAGCCUUUUCCUGUACAAAUGCAUGAAUUGU